CAGCCGUAAACUAUGCGCGUUAGGUGUACUGGUGACCACGAGUCACCGGGGUGCCGAAGGGAAACCGUGAAACGUGCCGCCUGGGAAGUACGGUCGCAAGGCUGAAACUUAAAGGAAUUGGCGGGGGGGCGACCACAACGGGUGGAGCCUGCGGUUUAAUUGGACUCAACGCCGGAAAUCUCACCGGAUAGGACAGACAUAUGAUAGUCGGGCUGAAGACUCUACUUGAUGAUCUGAGAGGUGGUGCAGGCGUCAGUGACU
This 261-nucleotide ribosomal RNA is filed under the name uncultured archaeon. Its description in RNAcentral is "partial 16S ribosomal RNA". It matches the Rfam family "Archaeal small subunit ribosomal RNA", at positions 748 to 1006 of the family's 1478-position model. The record is from RNAcentral.